UGGAGGAGGUCGAGGUUACUGCUAUCACGGAUGCUGCUACAGAGGAUACAAUGGCUGCAGAAGGUGUUGCUCGUACGCUGGAGAAGCUGUUCAGACUCAGCCUGGUCACUAAAACAAUACAACCUAUUCACCAAACGAUGCAUGAUUACAUUAUGUGUGUCUCACUUUAAGUAAAGCCAUGGUGCCUUUGUAAUGAAGUGCCUCAAGUCUUUGAGGCAUGAUGGAAUAAAAAGUAUAACCUGUGGGAAUAAAGUUUGAUAAUGUAAUGCUUAUGUGUUUUGAGUUGUAAUAUGUGCACGUUUUGUCACAAAAAGAAGAAGAUUGUGUGUACUGUAUGUUAAUCUCUUUCAGGUUUUUUUGUGUGGGUAAUAGUGUGAUAUGUACUUUGUUCCAGCAUUAUUCAUACACAUGAUACAUGCUGAAUUAAAGCAUAUAUAACCGGGUCAGAAUUAGGCAUGACCGCGUUACGAUUAUCUACGGUUUAUUAACCACCGGUUACGGUUAUAAAUUUUCUUUAACCAUAACCUUAACCUUUAUAUAUAGGGUCACAACGAUUACGGUUAUACACAAUUACCGUUAAAUCCGGUUACGGUUAAAUAUGGGUACGGUUAAUUGAUAAUUAUGAUAUAUAUAAUAUUAUAAGCAAAAUUUUAUAUUUUUUUACCAUAUCAAAUAAUUUUUAUUUACAAUAUGAAAUAUAUGUAAUUAUAUGAUUCAAAUAUUUAUAGUAUAUCAGUUAAAGAAAUUAUUUUUGUUUAAUCAAACACAACUACAAAUAUAUAAAUUAAUGGUUAUGAACCUACAACUAUUUAAAAUUAAAUUAUUUUUGAUUUGAUUAAUGGAAAUGAGAAGUGGAGUGGGUAAGAGUUACUAGUUUACACAUUUACUCAUUUAAAUUUUUUUUUUGAUGAAAUAAUUUUAUUAAAGGUUUAACCGUACGGUUAAUUAUAUGGUUAACCAAUGGUUUUCUACGGUUACGGUUGAUAACGGUUACGGUUAAUAUUUUUUUUAUAACCGUGAAUGAUUUAGUUUUUACGGUUAACGGUUAUAUUUUUUAACCGUUUUAUACGGUUACGGUUGAAAGUUAGAAAUACGGUUAAAGUUAGAUUUUGGUUAUACCUAGUAAGAAUACCUCUAAUAAAGCCUAUUAUUCAAAAUAGAAGUUUUACUCAUGUUAGUUUUAAUAGCCAAAAUUUCCGCUCAACAACCUUGUUCGUUUGCGAGUAAUGAAAUAAAACUAUUGGUGUAAGUUCCACCAUUCGUAGGAGUUUUUCCAUCUUGGAGUUAAUCAAAUAUUUGUUUCAUCCAUAUCUCUAUUAAUUUUUUCAGCCCAAAAGUUUGCUAUAAAUAAAACUACAAAAAUAAAUCAUUUCUCAAAGAAUGCUAAAACUUUUAUGGACUGCCUGUACUACUCUCCCUGAAAUAUAUCGUUUCAACUAGGUUCUUCCUAUACUUUCAGCCUCUGCCCAAUUUCACCUAUACGAUAUAUAUCUAUCAAAUUUCAUCCAAACUAUAUAAUUCUAUCCAAUUAACCAAAAUCAAUUAAAUUUUUCAAUAACGUUUUAUAAUUGAUAAUUAGAGUACACUAUACUGCGAUUUGAUUAAGUCUUACAUGAAUAUGAGAUCCCGUCUCUCUUUUUAACCGCAAAUGAACCCCCAUUUUAAGGUUUCAUCAAAAUCAAAUCAAUGGAAAAAAUAGAAAACAAAAUUAACGACUUUAAAAAGCGAAUUUUUGAUUUUAAAACGCAAUUGAGAAGCUAAAUGAUUUGGGUUAACCUUUUUUUAACCCCAAAUGAACCCCCACUUUUAGCUUUCAUGAAAAUCAAAUCAAUUUGAGAGAAAAUAGAAAACGCAAUUAUCAAUCUUAAAACACUAUUGAGAUUUUAAAAUGAUUUUGGUUGAUUGGAUAAAAUUAUAUAGUUUGGAUGUAAUUUGAUCGAAUAUAUAUCGUAUAGGUGGAAUUGGGCAGAGGCUGAAAAUAUAAAGGAAACCUAGUUGAAACGAUAUAUUACAGGAGGACUAGUACAUGCAUAUAUAAAAGUUUUGUUUUCUUUCUAAAUGCAUCUAUAUAUAUAAAAUUAACUUUUUCUCUAUUCUCCUUAUGCCACAUCAUCUUCCACAUCAGCUGCCACAUCAUCAUUUAUCUUAAUUUUUUUACAUUGAUUUAGAAUUACAACACUUUAGUUUUUAAUUUAUAGUCUACCUCAUAACUUAGCUUUUAUUUAAUUUUUAUAUUCAAUAGUGGUUUUAAGAAAAUAAAUAAUAUAGUAAAAACAUUUAUGUCCAAAAUAAAUAAAACAAGUAUCUAUUUAUAAAGUAAUGAUCAAUUUUUUAUUAAUGGGGCUAAAUACAAAACAAGGAUAUUUAUACUAUACAGAUAGAUAUACCACUAAAUUGAUGUCAUCCGAAGCCACAUCAAACGAGAACGCAAUCAAUUUUAGGCAUAAGAAGUAGAAAAAAAACUAAAAAGUAAAAUGAAAACACUUGGAUAAAUAAAUAAGUGGAUUCACCAGAAUAAUUUGGUUUACAAGAACUGAAGGCUUUUGAAAUGUAAGGUUCUAACAUCUAUUAUUUGACCUAAAUCAAAGUUAAACAAAUAACAAUAAAAAUUUCAUAUACUAAAUUAAUACAAAAACAAGAGUAAAAACAAAAAAUAAACAAAAAACAAAAAAAAAUUCAAAAUAUAAAAAAACAAUUAUAAAACUCCUGCGUGCAGCGCGGAUCAGCAACUAGUUGCAAAUAAAGCUUAAUUUUAUGAUACCUGAUUUGGUAACCUCUUUGGUUGAUUCUCUAUUAAUAUUUUCCGAUCUCUUGUACUGCAUAUUUUAAAAAGUAAUCUGAAAAUCAGUUAUUAUUCAUCCAUUACUGCUUGUGAGUCCUCCACUCCUCCGAAGAGUCAUCGGUAUAUAUAAACAUAGAAUUCUAUUUCUCACCCUUUUUCUGUAGAAGCAUGAAAACUUUUAACCAAAAAUUUCUAAUUUUUUUUUUCAGAUAUAACUCAAACAUCUUCUCUCUCUCUCUUCACAAAGAGAGUCAUUUUAGAGAAAAAAAAUUGUUUCACAAAAAAUGUCAUUCUACAUUUCCAAUGUAGAUUGUACAUUAAAUUUCCAAAUUUACCUAUAAACCAAAAGUUCAUUUUAUUAAUGUAAAAUUAUUAAUCAUUUAUUAAGUAAGGAUAAAUAUGUAUAGUUCAAAGUUUUCUAAAUUUGUGUGAAAAGCGUCAAAACAGAUGAAAUAUUAUUUUUUUCUAGAUUCUUGUGUGAUUACUCCUGCAAAACAUGAAGUCACCAUAUAAUUAGAUUCAUCCAAAGCCAACUUAAGAGAGAUGAUAUUCGUCUGGCCCUAGAGAGCAUCAUUUUUUCUUCACACAUUUUUAAUGGAAUAAUUGGAGAAAUAGACAGUUUUUGAAACAUAAUUGUAGAAAUAGUACAAUUACUAUUUACAAUUAGCAAAAUCCACAUUUUUACUAUGCUAUUUUAUUUCUUUGCCUUGUCAAUACUCAUCAAAACGUCUUAUUUACAACAAUGCCAUUAAUAUAUAAUUAAAUUAUAUUUUUCUUUCCUCUCAGAUUUUUAAUUAAUAUUUAUUUUUUUUUUCUUUUUUCUUUUUUAUUACAUUCUCCUUUCAAUCUAAAAACUAAAAUACUAGUCAAUGAAAAUUUUUAUUUUUACAAGUUUCAAAUAUAUAAAAAUCUAUGUUUUUUUCUCUAUUAUAUGAUAUGCAUUUUGUUUGAAGAUUUUAUUUGAUAAUAACAAAUAAUUUUUAUUAAUUUUAGAUAUGUACAAUUUACUAAGUGUACAGAUCUAAUCCGUACAACUUAAAACGUGUACAUAUGUACAUAUGUACAACUUAAUAAGUGUACAAAUAUUAGUAUACAAGUCGUAAACGAUUGUACACGUAUUUGUACAAUAGGAUAUAUGUACAAAUACAAUUGUACAGAUCAAACUGUAUAUUUAUUAUAUGUACAGAAAAAUGUAUGUAUAAAAACUAUAUACAAUGAUAUAUGUACAUAUAUAAUUGUAUGUAUAUUGACUAUUAUAUUGUAUUGUACACGUAUUUGUACAAUAUAAUAUAUAUGUACAAAUACAAUUGUACAGAUCAAACUGUACACAUAUUAUAUGUACAAAUGAAUUGUACAUUGUACAGAUGUCUUUUGUACAUCUACCCUUUUGUAAUUUACCACCACUACACUAUACCCCACUUUCUCAUCUAUCUCACACAUUCUGUAUCUCACAUAGUGGACCCAUUAUCUAUUUAUCCAAUUUUGAAUAGUAAAUGUACUAUAUCACAAAUUAAGUUUUGAAAAUGUACUAUAAUGCUAAUUUUCCCCAUUUUUAAUUUGCUUGUUUGAUUCAAAACUGAUUCAAUUGCCUUUUAAAGACCAUCUUUUCCGGUUAUCUCUUGUCAAAUAAGAUUAAUGUUUUCUUUUAUAUAUUUUCCUCACAUACAUUGAACAACUCUCUAAAAUCAGUCUAUAUGAUCAUGCCCAAUCUUUUGGAGGUAAAUCCAUUUUAGAAAAUGCUAACCGGCUUUUUCAUGUUUUCCUAAAAGGCAAUAAGCUCAUUGAAGUCUCCAAUCAUUAUUAUGUGAAACUUUACUACAUGAUUACUCGUUAUGUUUGGGUUUAUUCGGUUGUUUUUAGGGUUUAGUAUUUACUAUAAUGUAUGUCUUUUAGCAAAUUGUUUUUUGAAAAAUAGACAUUUUUAAAAGUUCAAAAAUAGGAAAUCUAUAAAAAUUUAACAAAUAUGGCAUAUUCGUAAAAUUUGUCAUAAAAAUGGUAUUUUCAGUAAGAACCCCCUUUAAAAAUCGCCACUAAACAAUAGCUCUUUGCGUCUGGAGCUUAUAAUAAAUAAAAAUUAAUCAAAAGAUUUCAACAUAUACGUGACUUUUAGACGAUUAACUCUUGAAUUUGAGAGGAUUUUGUUACCGUUUAAACUUUAAAGUCUGUCUCUGUCCAAACUUGCUGCAAAAAUAUUUUGUUACCCUUGUCCCUUCUAUAUGCUCCACUUAUUGAGUAUCAGUGUAUAUUUUCUGCCCAAGUAAAAAUAACAAUGCUAAUCCAAUAAUGAAGUUCUUGUGUUUAUCUCUACAUGUGUGAACACUGGCUUUAUAAGUUUAUCGAAAUAUCCAAAAGACUAGUGGGGUGUUACCAUUUAUGGUGUUUCAAAAUUAUUUUACAAUGAAUCCAACAUCCAACCAUAAGGGGUCCCGACUUAAUUAACUAAGAAGGCAUACAUACUUAGACUUUUCUACUGUGAUAAACUCCUUUGUUUUUUUUUAUUGGCUUAUGGAUUAGUUUAUUUGACUUUUCUCAUUCCCUCCUUUUCGCUUCCUAUAAAUAGAAGCCAUGCAGGGUAACAUUUUAUAUCCAUCACACGUUUUAACAUACUAAGAGAGUUACAAGAAGAACUUGAAACAAAAAUGGCUUCCAAGGCUUUGAUUCUGUUAGGUUUCUUCGCAGUUCUUUUCGUCGUCUCGGAAGUGGCUGCGGCAGCUGAGGCACAGUCCGGUACGUAAUAUGAUUAUAUAUAGAUUUCAUUCUAUUUAAUACCUUCCUUUGGAGGUUAUUCAUGAAGCUAACGUAACAUGUGAUGGUUCAUCCUAUAAUCUUGUCCUUUCGAAGUUUAUUUGGAGUCUCUCUAUAGCCAAAACACUUAAUACGAUUUUUACUCACUAAAUUUAUCAUACUAUCUCAAACUGUAUAUUAAAUUAUCUAAAUCGUAACAAAAACUUGUUAAGGAAUGCACAAUAUGCACGAGCUAAAUUGAAAUGAUAUGUUGUUUUGGACAGGCAAGGUUAAGAGCGAGGAAGCAGCUGUGAAACCUGAUCAAUAUAAUGGUGGAGGUUACAACAAUGGAGGAGGCUACAACAACGGAGGAGGCUACAACAAUGGAGGAGGAGGCUACAACAACGGAGGAGGAGGUUACAACAACGGAGGAGGAGGAUACAAUAACGGAGGAGGAGGCUACAACAGAGGAGGAGGCUACAACAGAGGAGGAGGAUACAACCGCGGAGGAGGUGGAGGUUAUUGCGGCCAUGGAUGCUGCUUCAGAGGAUACAAUGGCUGCAGAAGGUGUUGCUCGUACGCUGGAGAAGCUGUUCAGACUCAGCCUGGUCACUAAAACAAUACAACGAUGCAUGAUUAAUGCAUUAUGUGUGUAUCACGUUAAGUAAAAACCAUGGUGCCUUUGUAAUGAAGUGUCUCAAGUGUUUGAGGCAACAUAGAUAAAAA
This 6232-nucleotide long non-coding RNA is filed under the name Capsella rubella. RNAcentral's name for it is "long non-coding RNA (CRUB_LNC003773)". Lineage: Eukaryota; Viridiplantae; Streptophyta; Magnoliopsida; Brassicales; Brassicaceae. The record is from RNAcentral.